RNAcentral lists this ribosomal RNA (1005 nucleotides) under Vibrio sp. RNAcentral describes it as "bacterial SSU rRNA". It matches the Rfam family "Bacterial small subunit ribosomal RNA", at positions 63 to 1057 of the family's 1533-position model. Lineage: Bacteria; Pseudomonadati; Pseudomonadota; Gammaproteobacteria; Vibrionales; Vibrionaceae. The record is from RNAcentral.
CGAGUUAUCUGAACCUUCGGGGAACGAUAACGGCGUCGAGCGGCGGACGGGUGAGUAAUGCCUAGGAAAUUGCCUUGAUGUGGGGGAUAACCAUUGGAAACGAUGGCUAAUACCGCAUAAUGCCUACGGGCCAAAGAGGGGGACCUUCGGGCCUCUCGCGUCAAGAUAUGCCUAGGUGGGAUUAGCUAGUUGGUGAGGUAAUGGCUCACCAAGGCGACGAUCCCUAGCUGGUCUGAGAGGAUGAUCAGCCACACUGGAACUGAGACACGGUCCAGACUCCUACGGGAGGCAGCAGUGGGGAAUAUUGCACAAUGGGCGCAAGCCUGAUGCAGCCAUGCCGCGUGUAUGAAGAAGGCCUUCGGGUUGUAAAGUACUUUCAGUCGUGAGGAAGGUUCAUGCGUUAAUAGCGUAUGGAUUUGACGUUAGCGACAGAAGAAGCACCGGCUAACUCCGUGCCAGCAGCCGCGGUAAUACGGAGGGUGCGAGCGUUAAUCGGAAUUACUGGGCGUAAAGCGCAUGCAGGUGGUUUGUUAAGUCAGAUGUGAAAGCCCGGGGCUCAACCUCGGAACUGCAUUUGAAACUGGCAAACUAGAGUACUGUAGAGGGGGGUAGAAUUUCAGGUGUAGCGGUGAAAUGCGUAGAGAUCUGAAGGAAUACCAGUGGCGAAGGCGGCCCCCUGGACAGAUACUGACACUCAGAUGCGAAAGCGUGGGGAGCAAACAGGAUUAGAUACCCUGGUAGUCCACGCCGUAAACGAUGUCUACUUGGAGGUUGUGGCCUUGAGCCGUGGCUUUCGGAGCUAACGCGUUAAGUAGACCGCCUGGGGAGUACGGUCGCAAGAUUAAAACUCAAAUGAAUUGACGGGGGCCCGCACAAGCGGUGGAGCAUGUGGUUUAAUUCGAUGCAACGCGAAGAACCUUACCUACUCUUGACAUCCAGAGAACUUAGCAGAGAUGCUUUGGUGCCUUCGGGAACUCUGAGACAGGUGCUGCAUGGCUGUCGUCA